RNAcentral lists this long non-coding RNA (976 nucleotides) under Monodelphis domestica (gray short-tailed opossum). Its description in RNAcentral is "lncRNA (ENSMODG00000043806.1)". Lineage: Eukaryota; Metazoa; Chordata; Mammalia; Didelphimorphia; Didelphidae. The record is from RNAcentral.
AUGGUAUUAUUUAUACAUGAGAACUCUAAUAACAAGGAAUUAAAAAAAAACCAAAGAGGAAGAAGUGGGGGAAAUGAGCAAAACCAAGCAACACAUCAGAAAAGAAAUUUGGAGCUUUAUGUGAGUCCCCCCACACCACCCCUCCCCGCCCUGCCUUUUAUACAGGAAGGGGGAUAUUUUCUGUCAACCUUAUGGUGGUCUUUAUCUAUGAAUAAAAAUGAAUGUGUGACCAGAAUUCCUACUCCAUAGUCAGCUUAGUCCAAGUCUAUCAUUCUAGAAUUAUCUGUUGAUUGAUUACAGAGAUUAGAAUCUCUCAAAUUUUGUACUUCUUUCAGACUGUCCUAAGAGGGCCGUGCAUGUGUGUGUGUGUGUGUGUGUGUGUGUGUGAAUUAGUAAGUCAGUAAACAUUUAUUAAGCACCUACUUUAUGCCAGGCACUGUGUUCAAUGCUAAGGAUAUGGAGAAAGGCAGGAGAAAAUCCUGACUUUCAAAGAACUCACAGUCCAUAGGGGAGGCAACAUACAACUAUGAAUAUGUGAGAUAUUUAUAGGAUAAAUUGGGAAGGAAGGACUAGAAGUAAGAGAAAUCAGGAGAGACUUCCUGUAUAAGUUUUGCAUGUUGCAUAUAUAUGUGCCACUACCAGUGUUUCUUGGUGCCUGUUUCCAUCACCCAUUUCCUCUUUUUCCCUUCUAGGGUCUCUGUGUCUCAGUAAUCCACAAAAGGGUAUUUUCUAGGGUCUGCUCAAAAGGAGAAAAAGAUUAAGAGUCGGAGAACUAGAACCUUGGUUCAAAUAUUGAUCAAUACUUUUGACCUAUGUGACCUUGAGCAGUCAGUCAUGUAAAGUACCUCCUAUGUGCCAGGCACUGUGUUCAACCCUAAUAAUACAAGGAAAGGCAGAAGACAAUUCCUGUCUUCAAGGAGCUCACAAUCUAGUUGAGGAGAUGAUAAGCAAAUAAAUAUAUACAAACAACCUUUCA